GACGAACGCUGGCGGCGUGCCUAAUACAUGCAAGUAGAACGCUGAAGGAGGAGCUUGCUUCUCUGGAUGAGUUGCGAACGGGUGAGUAACGCGUAGGUAACCUGCCUGGUAGCGGGGGAUAGCUAUUGGAAACGAUAGCUAAUACCGCAUAAUAGCAGUUGUUGCAUGACAACUGUUUGAAAGGUGCAAUUGCACCACUACCAGAUGGACCUGCGUUGUAUUAGCUAGUUGGUGGGGUAACGGCUCACCAAGGCGACGAUACAUAGCCGACCUGAGAGGGUGAUCGGCCACACUGGGACUGAGACACGGCCCAGACUCCUACGGGAGGCAGCAGUAGGGAAUCUUCGGCAAUGGACGGAAGUCUGACCGAGCAACGCCGCGUGAGUGAAGAAGGUUUUCGGAUCGUAAAGCUCUGUUGUAAGAGAAGAACGAGUGUGAGAGUGGAAAGUUCACACUGUGACGGUAUCUUACCAGAAAGGGACGGCUAACUACGUG
RNAcentral lists this ribosomal RNA (495 nucleotides) under uncultured bacterium. RNAcentral's name for it is "partial 16S ribosomal RNA". It matches the Rfam family "Bacterial small subunit ribosomal RNA", at positions 28 to 507 of the family's 1533-position model. The record is from RNAcentral.